CGUUUGCGCUCGUUCUUGUUUGCGAGGCUGACUGACUCGACCGGACGAACGGACGGAUCGAUCGUGUGGUGGCUUCGGAUCAGCGACCAGCGUCGACGACGCGCCGCAGGUAGCACAGGAGCAGCAGAAGGAGAGAGGUUUGGCCUUCUGGAGAGCGCGGUGCGGUAUGGGGAUGAUGAAAUGGGAGAGGACGGCGAGAUGAGGUCUAGAGCUCCAGGUGGCGCGCCCAGGCGAACGGCAGGCUCUCCAAAGUGAAAUACGGUGAAACACACUGACACCUGUUACCUCACUAACGACGGGAGAAAGACACUCAGUGGUACCCUUCGUCACUUCGUCUCUGUGGACGAUUCCGUUUGUUCCGUAGACGUGGAGUCCUCGUCGUCGGUGGACGAUGAAGCUCAUAACGUUGUGGCUGUCAAAUGGGUCUAACCUGGUCGAAAGUCCCUAUAGGAGGUUAAGGUGGUGUACCCAAGAAAGGGAGAGGACACCACAGUUUGGGUGUCCCAGUAGGUAUGUACACCCCUGGAGUCGGAUACUACGGUGGUAUACCCUGAGGUGGUAUACAGUAUAUGGGAGGACCUCCUUAAAUACGAGUGGGUAGUUACGCUGGCCCACGUGUGGGUAAACGAGGGAUAUGGUACUGAAGAGGUUUGCCGUUAGGACUACGACGACCUUGAUGGUGGUGACGACGAUGACGACCACCACUUUGUUUACCGUUUAGGAGACUUCCUUUUCUUUUUUCAGGGUAAUUUUCUAGGUUUCCUUCAAACCCAUCGAACUUGUACUAAUGUCCCUUUUUGACACAGCUUGUACCAUUCUGGAGUCCCCGUAGUCAGUUACCUUGGUAGAGAGUUUCACCCCUUUCACCUUCACUUUCAAGUUCACUCCCUUCACUUCGCUUAAGAGUCUUACUAAGUGUUGUGUUCCUUUCACCUGUUCUUGUUCUACCUCUACAGGCUUCAAGGGUCUUACCACAUAGUGGAAGUGGUAGGGUCCGCGUCAACUUCGUUUGAAACCGUUAAUACGUUUACGGUAGUUCACCAGGUCACGGACCGGGUUGUUGUUUGAACUUGUAUCCUUACCUGAUGACCCGUUUAUGUCGUUCGAGGAGAGGACGUAACGUACCAUUUCACUGGGGUUGACGUUAAGGUCCCCGACACCGGGGUUGUCUCGGCACCUACGUCCUACUUGCACUUGACUUUUCCGUCUUUUCUUUCGUCAGUUUGUCCCUAAGACGAGCGUCUAGAUCCGACGCGUUCGUCCGACUUACACUCCUCAACCGAGUCGCGCGACUUCAUAACUUUGUCCUUUUACGAAGUGAAUUUCUACUUCACUCGGCCUAGUCUUUCCUCAUGCUACUUGAAGACAGUUUCUUAUCGAGUGACUUCCUAUUGCAACCUCUGUUUGUUGUGUUUUGACUACUCCGUCCUGAACUGUUAUUCGACGUUGUAAGACCGCUACUGUCGGUCUUCCUGUGAUUAACUCGAUAGUACGUUACGAUAGUCUAGUAUCGGGAUUGAUCUAACAACGACCGCGUCAACAUCAUACGCAUAACUGAGGUAUGAAUAACGUAAAUUAAUAAUGGUCCAGCACCAUUUAGAAUUACGGUCGGAGCACACGACCAAGGACAAAGUGUGUACAGAACCGAAUAGAAAAUCUUCAGUUCUACACUGACUUUUACAUCCAACACUUGGUCAAGUGACAUAGACAAUCUUUAACAACCAUGAAAGUUGAAAUGUCUAGACAUAACGACUAACAAUAACAAUACAUAUGGACUUCUUUAUAGUCAGAAAAUUAACAGUCCAACGGCAAACCGAUCCGAACUGACCACGUAUCCAAUACAAUUUAUACUUACGUAGUUAGAAAGAGUGUGUAAACUAUACUAUAUCACUUGUUUACCUCCUGAAGACGAAACGGCUCACAGAGUUUGCAACAUUGAUAGUCUCUGAUAGAAAAAAACAAAGUUAAAAAAUCAAAACGAAGAAAGUUAAGUGGACUCAACACGACACCCAUACGAUUUAAAACCUCACCACUAGUCUUAUAAGCAAAGUUCGAGUAUUUGACGAAACGGUAUACGUGACAACCAUUUUUUUUUACACAAGAAUUAAGAGUGACUAUUGUUAAACAAAACUGGAAAUACACAACCCUCAUCAUAAAUCGAGUUUAAAACACUAACGGUACUAGGUGUAUUUUACAAAUGGUAAGCCGUGGAGAGGAAUUGUCAACAUAAGUCAAACACACGUCCUUACUUCAAGAUCCUUGUACUACCUUUAAAGAGAGUACCUUAUUCGACACGAAUCGUAUCCUUCAAACAAGGACUACACCUAGUAGGGUGCCAGUAGAGGUGCCUGGGUGGUAACAGAAUAGUUCGUGGUUCACCUGACUACUGUUAUCGAGCACGCUUGUAAGCCGGAUCCCGGGCCUGUAAACCCCAGAAAGUAGCCCGACCUGUAGACGGGGGUUGGAACAGUGGGCCGUGGACACGUACGUGUUGGCCCGGUCUCCGAAGUACACCUAGAUCGAAGAAGUGUGGUUGGGGUGGUAAAGGUACGUGCUUUAAACAGGUUAAAACCGUUUUUUCUUAAGAAGAGGUUCCAGUAGAGGGGCUCUCAAGAAGGUGCCUAGAGUCGUCGGUUUUUAGGCCGGGCUGCGGACCUGUAGGCUGUGCAGCGUCGGUUGUGGAGGUGGAAAGGGUUAAAACCGGCAAAAGGGUUGUACUACUCCUGUAGUUAUGGUGUUAAUGUGAGUACUGGGGACGACAAUGUAUGUACCCUGAUUAGUGAUCUCGAGCGCGUGCGGUUAAUUUAAUGGUCCAUGAAAGCAAAAAACCAUUGCUAAGAUUACAAGUACUCUUAUGCUACGACAGGUUUAAUCUAUGUAAACAAAACGAAUGUUUACUUCACGGAUCGAAUGUGUUCUCCCUACUUGUAACCUCGUACUAGUUCGUACCUCUACUACUGUACGCGUUCCCCUUGUUCUUGUCUCAAAAACCACCUCAAAAGUCGUAAAAACUCGGUGGUACU
RNAcentral lists this ribosomal RNA (3023 nucleotides) under Triticum aestivum (bread wheat). Its description in RNAcentral is "partial small subunit ribosomal RNA". Lineage: Eukaryota; Viridiplantae; Streptophyta; Magnoliopsida; Poales; Poaceae. The record is from RNAcentral.